UGUCAAGGGAUGGGAAUCCAACCCACGACCUUCCGCUUACAGGGCAGAUGCCAUGACCACUAGGCUACAUAUGC
This 74-nucleotide transfer RNA is filed under the name Cordylochernes scorpioides. RNAcentral's name for it is "tRNA-Thr". The record is from RNAcentral. Lineage: Eukaryota; Metazoa; Arthropoda; Arachnida; Pseudoscorpiones; Chernetidae.